This 643-nucleotide ribosomal RNA is filed under the name uncultured bacterium. Its description in RNAcentral is "bacterial SSU rRNA". It matches the Rfam family "Bacterial small subunit ribosomal RNA", at positions 232 to 885 of the family's 1533-position model. The record is from RNAcentral.
CGCGGCCUAUCAGCUUGUUGGUGAGGUAACGGCUCACCAAGGCAACGACGGGUAGCUGGUCUGAGAGGAUGGCCAGUCACACGGGGACUGAGAUACGGCCCCGACUCCUACGGGAGGCAGCAGUGGGGAAUAUUGCACAAUGGGCGCAAGCCUGAUGCAGCGACGCCGCGUGGGGGAUGACGGCCUUCGGGUUGUAAACCUCUUUCAGUACAGACGAAGCGUAAGUGACGGUAUGUACAGAAGAAGCACCGGCCAACUACGUGCCAGCAGCCGCGGUAAUACGUAGGGUGCGAGCGUUGUCCGGAAUUACUGGGCGUAAAGAGCUCGUAGGUGGUUUGUCGCGUUGUUCGUGAAAACCUGAGGCUUAACCUUGGGCGUGCGGGCGAUACGGGCAGACUGGAGUACUGCAGGGGAGACUGGAAUUCCUGGUGUAGCGGUGGAAUGCGCAGAUAUCAGGAGGAACACCGGUGGCGAAGGCGGGUCUCUGGGCAGUAACUGACGCUGAGGAGCGAAAGCGUGGGGAGCGAACAGGAUUAGAUACCCUGGUAGUCCACGCCGUAAACGGUGGGUACUAGGUGUGGGUUUCCUUCCUUGGGAUCCGUGCCGUAGCUAACGCAUUAAGUACCCCGCCUGGGGAGUACGG